This 362-nucleotide long non-coding RNA is filed under the name Brassica napus (rape). RNAcentral describes it as "long non-coding RNA (BNAP_LNC025372)". Lineage: Eukaryota; Viridiplantae; Streptophyta; Magnoliopsida; Brassicales; Brassicaceae. The record is from RNAcentral.
CGCAUGCCUUAGAGGAAAGAGAGAGGCGGCCACAAGCUUUAGAGAAAAGGAAACCCUAUUUCAUUUUCCUUGUAUAUGUAAUCUUUCCAUUUAUGUAUUUAGUAGUUAUCCUAAAUCUAGUUGGAUUAGGAUUUGUACUCUUUCCUUUUAUCUCUAUCUUGUAAUCCUUAUAUAAGGGAUGUCUUAUUCAUUAAUGAAAUAGACAGAAACAUUCAGCUCUAAAUCUAUUGUUUCACAACACGUUAUCAGCACGAUUGUUCUCUCCAAUCUAAGCUAAAAUCGUCAAUCCCUUAAACCUAACCUAGCCGGCGACUUUAACCUAAUCCCGACGAACCCUAAUUCGUCCUAGCUCGCAUUCCCGC